CGCACCUUGCGCCUUUUGGUAUUCCGAAAGGCAUGCCUGUUUGAGUGUCAUGAACUCCUCAACCCCCUCGGGUUUCCGAUCGGGUUGGACUUGGGUGUUGCCAUCCCGGCUCACCUCAAAUUGCUUAGUGGACGCGCUCCCCCCAGUCAGUGUAAUAAGUUUCAUUGGCGAGGUGGUUUCGCUCUGCUCACAACGGCCUUUGCUGGCAACUUCUUGUACUCUGACCUCAAAUCAGGUAGGGCUACCCGCUGAACUUAA
This 258-nucleotide unclassified non-coding RNA is filed under the name Tremellales sp. Its description in RNAcentral is "partial contains 5.8S ribosomal RNA, internal transcribed spacer 2, and large subunit ribosomal RNA". Lineage: Eukaryota; Fungi; Basidiomycota; Tremellomycetes; Tremellales. The record is from RNAcentral.